This 459-nucleotide ribosomal RNA is filed under the name uncultured bacterium. RNAcentral describes it as "partial 16S ribosomal RNA". It matches the Rfam family "Bacterial small subunit ribosomal RNA", at positions 338 to 795 of the family's 1533-position model. The record is from RNAcentral.
CCUACGGGAGGCAGCAGUGAGGAAUAUUGGUCAAUGGCCGGAAGGCUGAACCAGCCAAGCCGCGUGAAGGACGAAGGUGCCAAGCAUUGUAAACUUCUUUUGUCAAGGGACAAAAUCAGGCUCGAGAGCCUGACCGAGGGUACUUGAAGCAAAAGCAUCGCCUAACUCCGUUCCAGCAGCCGCGGUAAUACGGAGUAUGCGUGCGUUAUCCGGAUUUAUUGGGUUAAUGGGGUGCGUGGGUGGGCUGUUAAGUCAGCGGUAAAAGCCCGGGGCUAAACCCCGGCGAGCCGUUGAAACUGGCUGUCUUGAGAUGUCGAGAGGUAUGCGGAAUGCGCAGUGUAGCGGUGAAAUGCUUAGAUAUUGCGAAGAACUCCGAUGGCGAAGGCAGCAUACCGGCGGCGAUCUGACGCUGAGGCACGAAAGCGUGGGUAUCGAACAGGAUUAGAUACCCUUGUAGUC